RNAcentral lists this ribosomal RNA (424 nucleotides) under uncultured bacterium. RNAcentral describes it as "bacterial SSU rRNA". It matches the Rfam family "Bacterial small subunit ribosomal RNA", at positions 355 to 776 of the family's 1533-position model. The record is from RNAcentral.
UAAGGAAUAUUGGUCAAUGGACGAAAGUCUGAACCAGCCAUGCCGCGUGCAGGAUUAAGGCCCUAUGGGUCGUAAACUGCUUUUAUACGGGACAAAACCCCUCUACGUGUAGAGGGCUGAUGGUACUGUAAGAAUAAGGAUCGGCUAACUUCGUGCCAGCAGCCGCGGUAAUACGAAGGAUUCGAGCGUUAUCCGGAUUUAUUGGGUUUAAAGGGUGCGUAGGCGGACUGAUAAGUCAGUGGUGAAAUCCUGUUGCUUAACAACAGAACUGCCAUUGAUACUGCCAGUCUUGAGUACAGUUGAGGUAGGCGGAAUGUGUCAUGUAGUGGUGAAAUACUUAGAUAUGACACAGAACACCGAUUGCGAAGGCAGCUUGCUAAACUGUAACUGACGCUGAGGCACGAAAGCAUGGGGAGCAAACAGG